Molecule: ribosomal RNA, 465 nt
Filed under: uncultured bacterium
Lineage: Bacteria
Description: bacterial SSU rRNA
Rfam family: Bacterial small subunit ribosomal RNA
Source: RNAcentral
AUUGAACGCUGGCGGCAGGCCUAACACAUGCAAGUCGAGCGGAAACGACUUAACAGAACCUUCGGGGGACGUUAAGGGCGUCGAGCGGCGGACGGGUGAGUAAUGCCUAGGAAAUUGCCCUGAUGUGGGGGAUAACCAUUGGAAACGAUGGCUAAUACCGCAUGAUGCCUACGGGCCAAAGAGGGGGACCUUCGGGCCUCUCGCGUCAGGAUAUGCCUAGGUGGGAUUAGCUAGUUGGUGAGGUAAUGGCUCACCAAGGCGACGAUCCCUAGCUGGUCUGAGAGGAUGAUCAGCCACACUGGAACUGAGACACGGUCCAGACUCCUACGGGGCAGCAGUGGGGAAUAUUGCACAAUGGGCGCAAGCCUGAUGCAGCCAUGCCGCGUGUGUGAAGAAGGCCUUCGGGUUGUAAAGCACUUUCAGUCGUGAGGAAGGUGGUAGUGUUAAUAGCACUAUCAUUUGACG